RNAcentral lists this ribosomal RNA (165 nucleotides) under Celtica gigantea. RNAcentral describes it as "5.8S ribosomal RNA". It matches the Rfam family "5.8S ribosomal RNA". From Rfam's summary of the family: 5.8S ribosomal RNA (5.8S rRNA) is a component of the large subunit of the eukaryotic ribosome. It is transcribed by RNA polymerase I as part of the 45S precursor that also contains 18S and 28S rRNA. Functionally, it is thought that 5.8S rRNA may be involved in ribosome translocation. The record is from RNAcentral. Lineage: Eukaryota; Viridiplantae; Streptophyta; Magnoliopsida; Poales; Poaceae.
CACACGACUCUCGGCAACGGAUAUCUCGGCUCUCGCAUCGAUGAAGAACGUAGCGAAAUGCGAUACCUGGUGUGAAUUGCAGAAUCCCGCGAACCAUCGAGUCUUUGAACGCAAGUUGCGCCCGAGGCCACCCGGCUGACGGCACGCCUGCCUGGGCGUCACGCC